This 484-nucleotide ribosomal RNA is filed under the name uncultured bacterium. Its description in RNAcentral is "partial 16S ribosomal RNA". It matches the Rfam family "Bacterial small subunit ribosomal RNA", at positions 30 to 507 of the family's 1533-position model. The record is from RNAcentral.
AUUGAACGCUAGCGGGAUGCUUUACACAUGCAAGUCGAACGGCAGCGCGGACUUCGGUCUGGCGGCGAGUGGCGAACGGGUGAGUAAUGUAUCGGAACGUGCCCAGUAGCGGGGGAUAACUACGCGAAAGCGUAGCUAAUACCGCAUACGCCCUACGGGGGAAAGCAGGGGAUCGUAAGACCUUGCACUAUUGGAGCGGCCGAUAUCGGAUUAGCUAGUUGGUGAGGUAACGGCUCACCAAGGCGACGAUCCGUAGCUGGUUUGAGAGGACGACCAGCCACACUGGGACUGAGACACGGCCCAGACUCCUACGGGAGGCAGCAGUGGGGAAUUUUGGACAAUGGGGGCAACCCUGAUCCAGCCAUCCCGGGUGUGCGAUGAAGGCCUUCGGGUUGUAAAGCACUUUUGGCAGGAAAGAAACGUCGCGGGCUAAUACCCCGUGGAACUGACGGUACCUGCAGAAUAAGCACCGGCUAACUACGUG